CCUACGGGGGGCAGCAGUGGGGAAUAUUGCACAAUGGGCGCAAGCCUGAUGCAGCCAUGCCGCGUGUGUGAAGAAGGCCUUCGGGUUGUAAAGCACUUUCAGUUGUGAGGAAAGGGAUGUAGUUAAUAACUGCAUUCUGUGACGUUAGCAACAGAAGAAGCACCGGCUAACUCCGUGCCAGCAGCCGCGGUAAUACGGAUGGUGCGAGCGUUAAUCGGAAUUACUGGGCGUAAAGCGUGCGUAGGCGGAUGAUUAAGCGAGAUGUGAAAUCCCGGGGCUCAACCUCGGAACUGCAUUUCGAACUGGUCGUCUAAAGUAUUGUAGAGGGUGGUGGAAUUUCCAAUGUAGCSGUGAAAUGCGUAAAGAUUGGAAGGAACAUCAGUGGCGAAGGCGGCCACCUGGACAAAUACUGACGCUGAGGCACGAAAGCGUGGGGAGCGAACAGGAUUAGAUACCCUGGUAGUCCACGCCGUAAACGAUGUCAACUAGCCGUCUGUUUCCUUGAGAAGUGGGUGGCGUAGCUAACGCGCUAAGUUGACCGCCUGGGGAGUACGCCCGCAAGGUUAAAACUCAAAUGAAUUGACGGGGGCCCGCACAAGCGGUGGAGCAUGUGGUUUAAUUCGACGCAACGCGAAGAACCUUACCUGGCCCUUGACAUGCAGAGAACUUUCCAGAGAUGGAUUGGUGCCUUCGGGAACUCUGACACAGGUGCUGCAUGGCCGUCGUCAGCUCGUGUCGUGAGAUGUUGGGUUAAGUCCCGUAACGAGCGCAACCCCUAUCCCUAGUUGCUAGCAGUUCGGCUGAGAACUCUAGGGAGACUGCCGGUGACAAACCGGAGGAAGGUGGGGAUGACGUCAGGUCAUCAUGGCCCUUACGGCCAGGGCUACACACGUGCUACAAUGGUGCGUACAGAGGGCUGCAAACCCGCGAGGGGGAGCUAAUCUCACAAAACGCAUCGUAGUCCGGAUCGGAGUCUGCAACUCGACUCCGUGAAGUCGGAAUCGCUAGUAAUCGCGAAUCAGAAUGUCGCGGUGAAUACGUUCCCGGGCCUUGUAC
RNAcentral lists this ribosomal RNA (1056 nucleotides) under uncultured bacterium. RNAcentral describes it as "bacterial SSU rRNA". It matches the Rfam family "Bacterial small subunit ribosomal RNA", at positions 338 to 1386 of the family's 1533-position model. The record is from RNAcentral.